Molecule: ribosomal RNA, 751 nt
Filed under: uncultured Mycoplasma sp.
Lineage: Bacteria; Bacillati; Mycoplasmatota; Mollicutes; Mycoplasmatales; Mycoplasmataceae
Description: bacterial SSU rRNA
Rfam family: Bacterial small subunit ribosomal RNA
Source: RNAcentral
GAUGAACGCUGGCUGUGUGCCUAAUACAUGCAUGUCGAGCGAGGUUAGCAAUAACCUAGCGGCGAAUGGGUGAGUAACACGUGCUUAAUCUACCUUUUAGAUUGGAAUACCCAUUGGAAACAAUGGCUAAUGCCGGAUACGCAUGGAACCGCAUGGUUCCGUUGUGAAAGGCGCUGUAAGGCGCCACUAAAAGAUGAGGGUGCGGAACAUUAGUUAGUUGGUGAGGUAAUGGCCCACCAAGACUAUGAUGUUUAGCCGGGUCGAGAGACUGAACGGCCACAUUGGGACUGAGAUACGGCCCAAACUCCUACGGGAGGCAGCAGUAGGGAAUAUUCCACAAUGAGCGAAAGCUUGAUGGAGCGACACAGCGUGCACGAUGAAGGUCUUCGGAUUGUAAAGUGCUGUUAUAAGGGAAGAACAUUUGCAAUAGGAAAUGAUUGCAGACUGACGGUACCUUGUCAGAAAGCGAUGGCUAACUAUGUGCCAGCAGCCGCGGUAAUACAUAGGUCGCAAGCGUUAUCCGGAAUUAUUGGGCGUAAAGCGUUCGUAGGCUGUUUGUUAAGUCUGGAGUUAAAUCCCGGGGCUCAACCCCGGCUCGCUUUGGAUACUAGCAAACUAGAGUUAGAUAGAGGUAAGCGGAAUUCCAUGUGAAGCGGUGAAAUGCGUAGAUAUAUGGAAGAACACCAAAGGCGAAGGCAGCUUACUGGGUCUAUACUGACGCUGAGGGACGAAAGCGUGGGGAGCAAACAGG